UCUAAACAGGUGACUACUGAAGAGUGUU
RNAcentral lists this non-coding RNA (28 nucleotides) under Mus musculus (house mouse). The record is from RNAcentral. Lineage: Eukaryota; Metazoa; Chordata; Mammalia; Rodentia; Muridae.